UACGAAGGGGGCUAGCGUUGCUCGGAAUCACUGGGCGUAAAGGGCGCGUAGACGGCGUUUUAAGUCGGGGGUGAAAGCCUGUGGCUCAACCACAGAAUGGCCUUCGAUACUGGGACGCUUGAGUAUGGUAGAGGUUGGUGGAACUGCGAGUGUAGAGGUGAAAUUCGUAGAUAUUCGCAAGAACACCGGUGGCGAAGGCGGCCAACUGGACCAUUACUGACGCUGAGGCGCGAAAGCGUGGGGAGCAAACAGG
This 253-nucleotide ribosomal RNA is filed under the name uncultured bacterium. Its description in RNAcentral is "partial 16S ribosomal RNA". It matches the Rfam family "Bacterial small subunit ribosomal RNA", at positions 524 to 776 of the family's 1533-position model. The record is from RNAcentral.